CCGGCGCACGGGUGAGUAACACGUAUCCAACCUGCCGUCUACUCUUGGACAGCCUUCUGAAAGGAAGAUUAAUACAAGAUGGCAUCAUGAGUCCGCAUGUUCACAUGAUUUAAAGGUAUUCCGGUAGACGAUGGGGAUGCGUUCCAUUAGAUAGUAGGCGGGGUAACGGCCCACCUAGUCUUCGAUGGAUAGGGGUUCUGAGAGGAAGGUCCCCCACAUUGGAACUGAGACACGGUCCAAACUCCUACGGGAGGCAGCAG
RNAcentral lists this ribosomal RNA (260 nucleotides) under uncultured bacterium. RNAcentral describes it as "partial 16S ribosomal RNA". It matches the Rfam family "Bacterial small subunit ribosomal RNA", at positions 95 to 354 of the family's 1533-position model. The record is from RNAcentral.